This 115-nucleotide small nucleolar RNA is filed under the name Helianthus annuus (common sunflower). RNAcentral's name for it is "Plant small nucleolar RNA U3". It matches the Rfam family "Plant small nucleolar RNA U3". Rfam says of the family: Small nucleolar RNAs (snoRNAs) are involved in the processing and modification of rRNA in the nucleolus. There are two main classes of snoRNAs: the box C/D class, and the box H/ACA class. The record is from RNAcentral. Lineage: Eukaryota; Viridiplantae; Streptophyta; Magnoliopsida; Asterales; Asteraceae.
ACGACCUUACUUGAACAGGAUCUGUUCUAUAGGCUCGUACCUCUGUAUUCGUGAUUCCUAAGAAGACAGAAACCCAGCGUGAUUAACAGAGACUAUGGCGGUUGUCUGACAGACA